RNAcentral lists this microRNA precursor (83 nucleotides) under Tursiops truncatus (common bottlenose dolphin). RNAcentral's name for it is "miRNA (ENSTTRG00000024271.1)". The record is from RNAcentral. Lineage: Eukaryota; Metazoa; Chordata; Mammalia; Artiodactyla; Delphinidae.
UAAAGAAGCAGUGGUGUUUAUAUACACACACACACACACACACAUAUGUGUGUGUGUGUGUGUGUGUGUGUAAUGGAAUAUUA